Molecule: ribosomal RNA, 253 nt
Filed under: uncultured bacterium
Lineage: Bacteria
Description: partial 16S ribosomal RNA
Rfam family: Bacterial small subunit ribosomal RNA
Source: RNAcentral
UACAGAGGUCUCAAGCGUUGUUCGGAUUCAUUGGGCGUAAAGGGUGCGUAGGCGGUUUGGUAAGUCGGGUGUGAAAUCUCGGGGCUUAACUCCGAAACUGCAUUCGAUACUGCCGUGCUUGAGGACUGGAGAGGAGACUGGAAUUUACGGUGUAGCGGUGAAAUGCGUAGAUAUCGUAAGGAAGACCAGUGGCGAAGGCGGGUCUCUGGACAGUACCUGACGCUGAGGCACGAAGGUCAGGGGAGCAAACAGG